UGGCUCAGGACGAACGCUGGCGGCGUGCCUAAUACAUGCAAGUCGAGCGGACAGAAGGGAGCUUGCUCCCGGAUGUUAGCGGCGGACGGGUGAGUAACACGUGGGUAACCUGCCUGUAAGACUGGGAUAACUCCGGGAAACCGGAGCUAAUACCGGAUAGUUCCUUGAACCGCAUGGUUCAAGGAUGAAAGACGGUUUCGGCUGUCACUUACAGAUGGACCCGCGGCGCAUUAGCUAGUUGGUGAGGUAACGGCUCACCAAGGCGACGAUGCGUAGCCGACCUGAGAGGGUGAUCGGCCACACUGGGACUGAGACACGGCCCAGACUCCUACGGGAGGCAGCAGUAGGGAAUCUUCCGCAAUGGACGAAAGUCUGACGGAGCAACGCCGCGUGAGUGAUGAAGGUUUUCGGAUCGUAAAGCUCUGUUGUUAGGGAAGAACAAGUGCAAGAGUAACUGCUUGCACCUUGACGGUACCUAACCAGAAAGCCACGGCUAACUACGUGCCAGCAGCCGCGGUAAUACGUAGGUGGCAAGCGUUGUCCGGAAUUAUUGGGCGUAAAGGGCUCGCAGGCGGUUUCUUAAGUCUGAUGUGAAAGCCCCCGGCUCAACCGGGGAGGGUCAUUGGAAACUGGGAAACUUGAGUGCAGAAGAGGAGAGUGGAAUUCCACGUGUAGCGGUGAAAUGCGUAGAGAUGUGGAGGAACACCAGUGGCGAAGGCGACUCUCUGGUCUGUAACUGACGCUGAGA
RNAcentral lists this ribosomal RNA (748 nucleotides) under Bacillus sp. (in: firmicutes). RNAcentral's name for it is "bacterial SSU rRNA". It matches the Rfam family "Bacterial small subunit ribosomal RNA", at positions 20 to 751 of the family's 1533-position model. The record is from RNAcentral. Lineage: Bacteria; Bacillati; Bacillota; Bacilli; Caryophanales; Bacillaceae.